This 76-nucleotide transfer RNA is filed under the name Bacillota bacterium. Its description in RNAcentral is "tRNA-Thr". It matches the Rfam family "tRNA". From Rfam's summary of the family: Transfer RNA (tRNA) molecules are approximately 80 nucleotides in length. The record is from RNAcentral. Lineage: Bacteria; Bacillati; Bacillota.
GCUGUCGUAGCUCAGCAGGCAGAGCGCCUCCAUGGUAAGGAGGAGGUCACCGGUUCGAUUCCGGUCGACAGCUCCA